This 483-nucleotide ribosomal RNA is filed under the name uncultured bacterium. RNAcentral's name for it is "partial 16S ribosomal RNA". It matches the Rfam family "Bacterial small subunit ribosomal RNA", at positions 30 to 507 of the family's 1533-position model. The record is from RNAcentral.
UUGAACGCUCGCGGGAUGCUUUACACAUGCAAGUCGAACGGCAGCGCGGACUUCGGUCUGGCGGCGAGUGGCGAACGGGUGAGUAAUGUAUCGGAACGUGCCCAGUAGCGGGGGAUAACUACGCGAAAGCGUAGCUAAUACCGCAUACGCCCUACGGGGGAAAGCAGGGGAUCGUAAGACCUUGCACUAUUGGAGCGGCCGAUAUCGGAUUAGCUAGUUGGUGAGGUAACGGCUCACCAAGGCGACGAUCCGUAGCUGGUUUGAGAGGACGACCAGCCACACUGGGACUGAGACACGGCCCAGACUCCUACGGGAGGCAGCAGUGGGGAAUUUUGGACAAUGGGGGCAACCCUGAUCCAGCCAUCCCGCGUGUGCGAUGAAGGCCUUCGGGUUGUAAAGCACUUUUGGCAGGAAAGAAACGUCGCGGGCUAAUACCCCGUGGAACUGACGGUACCUGCAGAAUAAGCACCGGCUAACUACGUG